CUGUGCGCAGGCGCUGUGGCUCGGCCUCGGGAGACGAGCUGUGAGCAACGCGCUUGCGCGUCUCAGUUUGCUUAGUUUGGGCUUUUUUACAGCUCGGCUUUCUGAUGUCUUCCAUCAUUUUCAUCCCCUACACUUUAUAAUCUGUUGCGAUGCGGCCAGGGUGCUCUGCUUGAACCUCCGCUGCACCUUGUCACAUGUAGGUUCCCUUUAGUUACUUGCGCUUUGAGAUGACGUUACACUUCAGGGACCUCAAGCACACAAGCAUUCUAAGGCUCAAGGAGAGGUCUGGCUACCAAAUGCUAAUUUAAUUCUCAGGUCGACAAUGGUUUAUGCCUGCAGUACUACUGCUGGGCAAAGGACAUAGAAAAUGCGAAAAGGAGAGGGCCAAGAAAAGCAACAGGAGAUGCAGGAGGACAAUAAGGAACGAUGGAAAACUCACAGCAGAUGCCCUCAAGAACUUUUGUAGUGACCACGGUGUUAAUAAGCAGCCUUCCCUGAUCUUAUUCGCAUCAGCACUCUGAGCUUUUAUGGUCAGCUCAGGUGACCUCCUGUCCUUUAAUUUGGAGAGUUAGUCUAUGCGGAGUGUAUCUAAGUGGGUUUGGUAACCUGUUCACCCUCCUCCACUUCUUUUCCAUCUCUUGGGGAACGCGAUUGUUGACUUCUGUCCCAGAAAGGUGGAACACUGCUCUCUGGAGAGAGGUAGACUGCAUUGGCUCCUGAAGUGGUACUGAGGCUGCUGGAGUGUCAGAGAUUGAAUAGACUGAGAGCCCCUAAUGAGUUGUGUUGGAUUGUGUACCACUUCCCCAUUGCAGGUGUUGGUUACGUGACAGUCUAUGGAAAUGAUUGCAAUGGUAACAUUUUGAUAAUGAUUUUCUAACUACGAAUAAAGCUUGCAUUAUGUAACUGUUUUAUAUGCUACCUUCUUUAUUUUUCAAGCAGAAGACAUAAUCCUUCCCCUCAGCUAGAAAAGUGGCCCAGAACAUUCCAUAGCAAUUAGUGGCCCCUAUUGAUAGUUAGACU
This 1020-nucleotide long non-coding RNA is filed under the name Homo sapiens (human). RNAcentral describes it as "HSALNT0342784". Lineage: Eukaryota; Metazoa; Chordata; Mammalia; Primates; Hominidae. The record is from RNAcentral.